RNAcentral lists this ribosomal RNA (844 nucleotides) under uncultured bacterium. RNAcentral's name for it is "bacterial SSU rRNA". It matches the Rfam family "Bacterial small subunit ribosomal RNA", at positions 26 to 870 of the family's 1533-position model. The record is from RNAcentral.
AGAACGAACGCUGGCGGCGUGGAUUAGGCAUGCAAGUCGAACGCGAAAGAGGGGGUAACUCCUCGAGUAGAGUGGCGAACGGGUGAGUAACGCGUGAAGAACCUGCCUUCAACAGGGGGAUAACACUCCCAACGGGGUGCUAAUACCGCAUGAGACCACGGGGUCGCAUGGCCCUGAGGUCAAAGGUGGCCUCUAUUUAUAAGCUACCGGUUGAAGAUGGCUUCGCGUCCCAUUAGCUAGUUGGCGGUGUAAAAGACCACCAAGGCGACGAUGGGUAGCUGGUCUGAGAGGAUGGUCAGCCACACUGGGACUGAGAUACGGCCCAGACUCCUACGGGAGGCAGCAGUGGGGAAUCUUGCGCAAUGGGCGAAAGCCUGACGCAGCCAUGCCGCGUGAAUGAUGAAGGUCUUAGGAUUGUAAAGUUCUUUCGCUCGUGACGAUGAUGACGGUAACGAGAGAAGAAGCCCCGGCUAACUUCGUGCCAGCAGCCGCGGUAAUACGAAGGGGGCUAGCGUUGUUCGGAAUUACUGGGCGUAAAGCGCGCGUAGGCGGUUUUGCAAGCCAGAGGUGAAAUGCCUGAGCUCAACUUAGGAAUUGCCUUUGGGACUGCGAGGCUUUGAGGACGAGAGAGGUGAGUGGAAUUCCCAGUGUAGAGGUGAAAUUCGUAGAUAUUGGGAAGAACACCGGUGGCGAAGGCGGCUCACUGGCUCGUUUCUGACGCUGUAGCGCGAAAGCGUGGGGAUCAAACAGGAUUAGAUACCCUGGUAGUCCACGCCGUAAACGAUGAGUGCUAGGCGUCGGCACGCUUGCGUGUCGGUGCCGCAGCUAACGCGUGAAGCACUCC